CGUGCAGGCGGCCCAUUAAGUCAGAUGUGAAAGCCCUUGGCUCAACCAAGGAACUGCAUCUGAAACUACUGGGCUUGAGUACGGGAGAGGAGAGUGGAAUUCCCGGUGUAGAGGUGAAAUUCGUAGAUAUCGGGAAGAACACCGGUGGCGAAGGCGGCUCUCUGGACCGAUACUGACGCUGAGACGCGAAAGCGUGGGGAGCAAACA
This 207-nucleotide ribosomal RNA is filed under the name uncultured bacterium. RNAcentral's name for it is "partial 16S ribosomal RNA". It matches the Rfam family "Bacterial small subunit ribosomal RNA", at positions 568 to 774 of the family's 1533-position model. The record is from RNAcentral.